GAUGAACGCUAGCGGCAGGCCUAACACAUGCAAGUCGAGGGGUAGAAGGAGCUUGCUCCUUUGAGACCGGCGCACGGGUGCGUAACGCGUAUGCAAUCUACCUUGUACAGGGGAAUAGCCCAGAGAAAUUUGGAUUAAUGCUCCAUAGUAUAUAACCUUCGCAUGUUGGUUAUAUUAAAGUUCCAACGGUACAAGAUGAGCAUGCGUCCCAUUAGUUAGUUGGUAAGGUAACGGCUUACCAAGACGAUGAUGGGUAGGGGUCCUGAGAGGGAGAUCCCCCACACUGGUACUGAGACACGGACCAGACUCCUACGGGAGGCAGCAGUGAGGAAUAUUGGUCAAUGGUCGCAAGACUGAACCAGCCAUGCUGCGUGCAGGAAGACGGUCCUAUGGAUUGUAAACUGCUUUUAUACAGGAAGAAACCCUCCCACGUGUGGGAGCUUGACGGUACUGUAGGAAUAAGGAUCGGCUAACUCCGUG
RNAcentral lists this ribosomal RNA (480 nucleotides) under uncultured bacterium. Its description in RNAcentral is "partial 16S ribosomal RNA". It matches the Rfam family "Bacterial small subunit ribosomal RNA", at positions 28 to 507 of the family's 1533-position model. The record is from RNAcentral.